AUUGAACGCUGGCGGCAGGCUUAACACAUGCACGUCGAGCGAGCGGCGGACGGGUGAGUAAUGUCUGGGAAACUGCCUGCUGGCGGGGGAUAACUACUGGAAACGGUAGCUAAUACCGCAUACCAUCAGAUGUGCCCAUAUGGGAUUAGCUAGUGGGUGGGGUAACGGCUCACCUAGGCGACGCUCCCUAGCUGGUCUGAGAGGAAGACCAGCCACACUGGAACUGAGACACGGUCCAGACUCAUACGGGAGGCAGCAGUGGGGAAUAUUGCACAAUGGGCGCAAGCCUGAUGCAGCCAUGCCGCGUGUGUGAAGAAGGCCUUCGGGUUGUAAAGCACUUUCAGCGAGGAGGCGUUACUCGCAGAAGAAGCACCGGCUAACUCCGUGCCAGCAGCCGCGGUAAUUC
This 406-nucleotide ribosomal RNA is filed under the name uncultured bacterium. RNAcentral's name for it is "partial 16S ribosomal RNA". It matches the Rfam family "Bacterial small subunit ribosomal RNA", at positions 30 to 526 of the family's 1533-position model. The record is from RNAcentral.